Long non-coding RNA from Mytilus californianus (California mussel), 833 nucleotides. RefSeq lists it as uncharacterized. The record is from RefSeq and is a predicted model, not a curated record. Lineage: Eukaryota; Metazoa; Mollusca; Bivalvia; Mytilida; Mytilidae. The transcript is spliced from 6 exons.
UCUACAUGCAAUGAACUGGACAACAUGUAACUCUAUAUAUAAACAAAAUGUUCAAUAGCAGUGUAAGCUGUUCGCUUUUAGUCAAAAAAAUAAAAACACAGACGAUGUGGUUUGUAACUCUUUUGUUGAUGUUGUAUCUAACGGAGAACGGAUGUUUUGGUUGUUCAUGUGGUCCCCAAGGGUCUCUGCAAGAGGCCUUUUGUAGAAGUAGUUUUGUUAUCAAAGGAAAAGCUGUGAAGGAGGAACUCGAUCCACCUAUUAAAGGCGAUUUGUUCAGCAGCGACAACUCGUUUUGGGAUACCAAGAGAAUAUAUGACGUCAACGUCAUAGAAGUAUUUAAGGCGCCUGAAAACGUUGAAGUGAAACCAGGAGAUGUUAUCCAGGCUGUGACUCGUGCUAGUGGUUCAAUGUGCGGUGGAUCUUUGCAGUUAGAUACCGAACAAAUAAUUAUAGGCGGAGUUAAUGGGGAUGGUCAGUUAACGUUUAGUUUAUGUACCCACAAGGAACGAAAUGGGGUAACACCUUUACAGUUAGCAGGCUUGAGAGGAGAAUACUCUUGCUAAUAAAUUAAUGUUUAGCAAGUCAAAGUACGUUCCAAUUACAAUGAACUAACGUGUCAUCUAUGUACAUGUUUUGGAUACAAAACUGGUUGUCAACUGACAUGCAAAAGCUGUAAUGAAUAAGAAAAUCAGAAAUGUGAAUGAGACGUAGACAAAAAGAUAAAUUUGUCUACAUACCUGAAAUUAUAUAUAAUUGUUAAAUUUAAAAAAAAAUAUUGUAUUUUGUUAGAAAUAAAGAAAAAAAUAAAGGAACAUGUCUUACAACAUAAUUGA